RNA transcript from Galeopterus variegatus (Sunda flying lemur), 2482 nucleotides. It is a transcript of the gene named N-acetylneuraminate lyase-like, with no coding region annotated. The transcript is spliced from 4 exons. The record is from RefSeq and is a predicted model, not a curated record. Lineage: Eukaryota; Metazoa; Chordata; Mammalia; Dermoptera; Cynocephalidae.
UAUUCUGUAAAACCUAUAUGUAUGAAGAGAUCUUACCUUAUCCUGGAUGGAUCUCGGCCAUCCUCACUUGGCUAUUUUUCUCCAACCUGAAAGACCUUCAGAAAACUAAGUUCUGUAUCCAGAGGUUUAUCAACUCUAUGAUCAAACUAGGUUUUGGAGUGUCACAGAUCAAAGCUGUGAUGACUUUGGUCUCUGGGAUUCAAAUGGGCCCACCGCGGCUUCCACUGCAGAAAGCCUCCAAAGAGUUUACUGCUAAGGCUGAAAGUAAACUGAAGAGCCUGCAUAUCCUUUCUUCCACUGGUUAAAGGAUGGAAACUUGGAAGUCUGUAGCUAGUGCCUCUCUGUCAAAUCAGGGCCCAAUGCAGCUUUUAUUAAAAGGAAGCUUAAGUUCAUCAGAUCCUUUCAGGGUAAGUGCUCACAUCAGGAUUCUCCUGCUUCUCUGGAUUUUCUCCUUCAUUUUUGUUGACCUGUAAGGCAUUUUCUUACUUUCUUGGCAGCACAGCAAUGCAUUUUUAUUGUAGUCAACAUUUUUUAUUUUUCAGUGGUGCAUUUAUUUAGGGCAUCUCCAUUUUUUCCAAGCUUUUGAAAUCUUCUGUUUUAGAUUUCCCUUGUAAAUACUGCAAAUUUAUACUUUGCUAUGUGUUCCAUUCUGAGAGUCAUUUUCUCUUAACAGGUGAUUAUAUCCAUUUACCUUUAUUGAAAGUCUUCCUAAAUAGUUUGUAGAAAGAAACAUUAUUUUUGUUUAUAAAAUACAGUACAUUCUAUGCUAGUAUCCAAUAGGAAAUUACAAAUUCUGGAUAUGAGAAACUACUUAAUUAACACUGAUAAAAAAGUAAAAUCCCAUAACUUUAUAGAAAUGUAUUAGUCUUAGUGAAAGCUGAUAUGGAGCAAGCCAUGAAAUGCUGAAAUAUAUAAAUGCACAAGUAAAUAAAAUCCUACCCUAAUACGGGAACCAUAAAAGCGAAUAUGAACAUGGUAUUUCAAUGACUACAUAACUAAGAAGCAAGCCAAACUGUAAAAUAAAGUUAAACUAAUUCCUAUAGAAUAAAGGCAGAGACAGCAAAUAUUAGUGUGAAAGUGAGACAAAGCAAGUUGCCAAACCCUAUUGUAAGGAAAGUAAUACCAGUAAAAAAUAAAGAACAGCUUAGUCAGGCUCUCUCACCUUACGUCUGUUACAAAUAGGCAAGGUUCGGCACAUUCACUAGAAACAAGUUAUAAAAGUAGUGUAACUGCACGUGUGCCCAUUUACUGAUUCAGCAUGAUUGUUGUAAUUAUGUAAUGCUUGGUUUGUGGCUGCUAUUGUGUACUAAGAGUAUAAAGGUACUACUCUGAACCACUGGUCGGCAGAGCACGGAGGGUCGGCAGAGCACGGAGGGGUUGGCAGAGCACGGAGGGGUCAGCAGAGCAUGGAGGGUCAACAGAGUCAGGGCAGAGCCUGAGCUUGUCUUGGAGGAAUAAAGCAUGUCUGUGAAGCUCACAUUUGAAGAAUAAAGUAUGUCUACCUUGCAUAAAGCUUCCAGAAUCUUCAUUCAAUUACUUGACACACAACCUUCACAGGAAGGGACAGAAGGAUCUGAGAUUCUUGCCUGACAUCUGUGAAUGUGAAUAAAUUUCUAUACAGGUAGCCAAAAGAACUUGUAAAUAAACAAAUGGUUCAAUAGAAACUGGUACAGUGGAUAUGGAAAAGUGAUUUCCAAUGUCAUGCUUGCUUGUAAAAAAGGCAAAUAUUCACUGACACAUAUGCACAGCAAGCAAUAAAAAAAGUAAGAAUUCUAAUAGCAAUUGGCAUUUCGAUGAAUACUAUAACUAUAUAGCAAGGAAGGAAAUCAAUUAAAAGUUUUCAUAGAUUUUGUUUUUCAUCCUCAGAAUCUAGACCAUCAUUUCUGCUGGAAUCCAGAUUCACUGCAUUAAACGUCAUCAGUUCUUUAAACCGUAACCCAUUGUCAGUACCAUUAUUAAUUCACCUUUUGAAAAAUGACUUAACUUUUGUUUUAAAGUAUGUAUGUGCUGUGUUUAGCACCUUUUAUGCCCUAUCUUUAUUUUCUACAACGUUGUAUUGUUUGCUCGGUUAGUGGGCAUCCACAAUUCCACUCAACAGCAUCAUCCUGUGUCUAUGGCAUUAAGCCUAAACCUAAUUUUGUAUCAAAGCCAUGAGUUUUGAUCCAUGGGUACUGUACUAACAUAUUUAAAACUAAAUAUUAGAAGAUAAUCCAAACUCUUCCUCUGAUCAGCUUUGUGUUCUUUCAUUUGUAAUAGGAAACUCAUAAUAUCUACCUCCUGGGAUUAUGAGGAUUACAUAAAGUAAUACAUAAAGGUUCUUAGAAUAGUGACUAGUACAUCAUAAGCACAGUGAAGUGUUAGUUAUUAUUAGUUUUUGUAGCUAUUCAAGGCACUCAGUAUAUGUUCUUUACAUAGAGAGAAACAUUAUAUUACUGCUAAACCUUUUAAUAGUUAGCAAAAUAAAGUUGAAAAUGGUACCAAA